Molecule: transfer RNA, 73 nt
Filed under: Trueperella pyogenes
Lineage: Bacteria; Bacillati; Actinomycetota; Actinomycetes; Actinomycetales; Actinomycetaceae
Also listed under: 1 other name
Description: tRNA-Thr
Rfam family: tRNA
About the family: Transfer RNA (tRNA) molecules are approximately 80 nucleotides in length. Their secondary structure includes four short double-helical elements and three loops (D, anti-codon, and T loops).
Source: RNAcentral
GCCGGGUUGGCUCAAUUGGUAGAGCAUCCGCCUUGUAAGCGGACGGUUGUGGGUUCGAGUCCCACACUCGGCU